RNA transcript from Columba livia (rock pigeon), 7247 nucleotides. It is a transcript of the gene named extended synaptotagmin 3, with no coding region annotated. The record is from RefSeq and is a predicted model, not a curated record. The transcript is spliced from 26 exons. Lineage: Eukaryota; Metazoa; Chordata; Aves; Columbiformes; Columbidae.
ACCUGUAAUGCUGAGGUAUAUUCCCUAGGAAAGGAGAUUUCUCAGUGUAUCACUUUUCAGCUGAAAUGUCUCCUACUGCCUUGUGGGCAAGCUAGACAUCAGACAAAAUUGCUUUUAUCCAUAAUGAGUUUAUGGUUCAUUUUGAAGAGUGGUCCAGGCUAUUUGUACUGAAAAGCACAUAUCUUCUGUACUAAAAGGCAUGGAAAAUGCAGCAAUACAGACUGCAUUCCUAGGAGCCAUACUUCUUUCCAGACAUACUUAAAACCGCUAAGGAAAUAAGUUCAUUUCAGAGAGAGGAGAUUGCUGUAGACAAACUGUAAAAGGCCCAGAGAAACAGAAAGUGGGAAAGCAGAGUGAAGAUAAAGCCUGUAUGAUGCUAGCUACACUCUCUGCUCACUUCAAAGAAAUAAAAAGCUGUUAAGUUUCUGCUAACUGUCUAAUGUCAAGGGCUUGUUCAGAAUGCAGGUCUGGAUAUCUGCAGAGUUUCUUUGAUUACGAACAACUGCUUAAAUAUGUACACGUUGCUUUUUUAUUCUGUAAGUCCUGAAGAAAGCAGCUGAUCUUUUAAGAGAUGCACUAAGACUUGAGCAUGUUUGUUAUAGUACCAUGACCAUGACAAAAACAUUCUCACAGUUUACAGUGAAAGCAUUCACAGUUCUUAAUUCACAAAGCAUAGGUAAUUCUUAGGAAAUUAUUCAUCAGCUAAAUUUCAAUGUCUAGUAAAGAUGGAAUAUGUGUUCAGAAACAACGGUGAUUAACCAAAGUUGAUCUCUUUUUCUUUCAGCUGUAGCCUCCUUCCUCCCUUCUCUUCCACAGGGUUUCCUCGUCAUCCCAGUGGAAAUUUGUGAUGCUUCUUCAUUCUCCAGCAGUAGGCACCAGCCUUCAAAGAAAUGAACCUCCUUCCUAUUUAAGUGAUCCUCCUUUCCGUGUUUUAAGGUUUUUAUGGGCCCAGUUUCAGUGUGCAGAGAAGGUUUUCUUGUGUCUAUUAAGAGCUGUGCUCAGACUGCAUCCUUUGCCAUAUGGAAACACCGUGAAGACUUCUCUCCAGCUGUUUAACCAUGGAGGAUUUUAACUCUUGCUGAGACCUCUCCUGCUGCUUGAGUUUGGUUGGAAAUAGCCAACAGGGUUAGAAUUUAUCAGGUGGCACCAGCUGCUCAUGGGUCAGUGAGAUGACACAAAGGUGCGCUGAUGCGUCUUGUGAGGAAAUCUGAGUCGUCCCCAGAGCCAGGAAAGUGAGAGCUUCAAUACACAGGCACUCUCUGAAAGCACUGGAAAAUGCUGUCCUCACCACAAGGGAAGUUUGUUUUUCUCUCAUAGAUUGCGCUUUGUAUUGUUGCACUUUCUCCUGUCUCGUCUGUGCAGUUGCAUAAUUUGUGUGUACAAGACACAGCUUUUCUCAGCGCUCUGCUAACCCAGAUGUCCACUGCGCCUCGCCGUGUCAGAGCAGCGUGAGAUUUGCUGGCUGAAGGGCAAGGCUGGGCAAGGGCCACACCACCCUAUUACCCCCUCUGGUGGAUACUCUGCAUCCUCCUGCACUGCCCUCACAUUAAUGGCCCCUCUGUAGAAAGAACAAGUGGAUAUGUGAAAUAAAUUGCUGUUGCUGGGUUUGUUAUAUUGCCAAAAGUACCGGCUGUUCAGUGCCUCUACUGCCCAUGAAAAGCAGUGAGAAGCCAUGAACAAGGCAGACACAAGCCAUGGUAUGAGGGAGUGAGCACAGCAAAGCAGAGCCUUUAAAAGCAAGGGUCCUGUACUCCCAGCCUGUCUUUGCGCAUAUUCCCAGCUACAGCCCUGGUCAUGCUUUCCAGCUAAAGCCUUUGCCUUGCAGUCUUCCACAUGGGAUUAUUUUCCUCAUGAAAAGAAGUUUCAUUAGCUUUACCAGUCCAGACCAGGUUUAUAGAUAAUACCAGUUAGUCCUAGGUGAGGCAUGGUUUAGCCAGUCAGUAUCUCACAGCUAGGCUUGAGGUUGGUAUUGUUUUAUGCCAAUUGAAGGAUUCCCAAAACAGGACAUAUAUAAUUCUGUUCAUGACCAAAUUACACAUCUCCAGCCAGAAUAAUAUACCCAGCUGAAGAAUGUAAAGUGGACUCAUUUUAGCUGCCCGGCUCAUAUUUAAUUCCAGGACAGAACCAGACAGAACGGAGGAGCCACAGCUUUCCCUGGGGAAAGGCACUCCAGGCUUGGUGGGAGUAUUUGCUUGAGAGCAGGGAGUAGGAGCAGAUACAAGGGAUUGGUUUGCUGUAUGAGAAGUACAGUCUGGAUAUGGCUUUCCUUGGCAGGGUGAACAGUGCAUGGAUGGAGAGUAUGAACCCCGAGGAAACUAAACAAUAAUUCCUUGUCAAGUGACAAAGAGUGGCAAAAGGGGCAUCUGCUUUAAUCGGAUCUUGGUACAGAAGUCAUUCUGUUAAUGCAAGGAGUAAGAUUUUAUCCUUACAUAAGUGUUUUCUAUUUUUCUGUGGAUGCACAGAGAAAAAACAUAUUGUACCUCUAGUAUUUACUAGCAUCAAUGGGGGAACUUCACACUGGUCACAAACCCUGAAGCCACAAGAAAGUUAGAAAGUCAUAUUCAGAUAUCACAUUGGUAUGCACUUAAAUGGAUAUUUCAGAUUAAUUCCUUUGCAUGUUCUCUAUAGUUUAAAGAAAAAGCGUUGGCAGUGAUUUUUCCUAACUCCCUACCUUUAAAGUGGGUUGCCUUAGUUACCAUGGCCGGCUUGAGAGAUAGCAAAUUUGGUACUAAUACAUUUUCAGAGCCCUGCAGUUUCUAUAAAAUCUCUGUGUCAAUCAACUACAACAUAUGCUUUUGUCAUAGUGUUAAUAAGCUAUACUAGUGAAGUCUAGUCAACUUAAAUUAGAGGUGCAGAUUGUCACAAGGCAGAACAAUAGCCUUGGGUCAUUACCUUAGUGACUGUCUUGUGUAUAUUGGCAAAAACAGGUUGUGGAAUUUCCCUGUAAUUGGAAAUAAGAUAGGUAACUACAAUCUGUCAUAAACAGAAUUAGCAGGGGUCUCAAAAGCUAUUGAUUGAUCUUGUUCUCAUGAGCACAGAUUUUUGGUUUGAAAACAGCUCUCUGUGUAACCUGUUGCAACAGGGGUAAUUUUUCACCUCCUUGUUUACUUUUGUUCAACUUUUAAAAUUUUAGGUGUAUGAAGUUAGGUUUAGAGAAAUUGUAUAUUAUUCCUGUAACUGCUUAAAGUUCCUAGAACCUCUUUAGAUGUGUAAAGGAGUUGUCUCUUCACAAGGUAAGGAGUUGGUAGCAAAGGAACAAGCUGUGCUCAAGAGGGUGCAUGUUUCUGAGCUCAGGGUUCUGGGUGACAGUGCACGACGGGACAUGUAGUUCUGCUUUAGUGGAAGCAUCUCCUUCACUAAACAGCAGCUGCAGGCUGUGUUGCAGGACUGAAAGGUAAUUUGGACAGAGGGAGCUCUCCUACUGCCCUUUAACCUGAACCUAGCUUUUUGUGAUCAGCUGAGUGAAGAAUAGGAAAAAAAUUAGAUAAACUGUAGUUUAUUUAUGAAAUGGGCCAGUAUGUAUUUCACUGCGGCCCCACUGUUUUUCCUACUCAAUAUUGAUGUUUCUAAACCGUAUAGUUGCCUGAUUUUUAGCUAAAUAUCUCAAACACUGUAAUAAUAGUAAUUUGAAGGAGCAAAAUACUGGAUCUACCUUUUAUUAUGUAAUAGAUUCUCCUGGUAGGAAAAGCAACAUUCCAAGUCUUCAAAGCACUAGCAGAGCCCACCUUUUUUUUUUUUUUUUCAGAAGCUUCUGGUUUUCUGAAAGGUCAGACUUAGAGGCUGAGAUUAUCCACAUGAAGUUUCACCCAUGGCUGAAAUGUCCUACUGAAAAUGUUUUAUGAAGCUUUAAAUGGCAGUGCGGAAAAAUGAAGCAAAAGUCAGCCUCAGCCUUCAGUCACGGAACAAAACCAGGUUCACUUCCCUGACGUUGAACGAGUGGAGUGGCUGAAUAAGGUCCUCGUACAGGCUUGGCCAUACUUUGGGACAAUCAUGGAAAAAACAUUUAAAGAAGUUCUUGAACCAAAAAUCAGAUCAAAGAAUGUACAUCUGAAAACCUGCACCUUUACCAAGAUCCACUUUGGCGAGAAGUGCCCUAGAAUCAACGGAAUAAAAGCCUACACCAAAGAAAUUGAUAGAAGACGAGUUAUCCUAGACCUGCAGAUAUGUUACGUAGGGGACUGUGAGAUUCACAUGGACAUAUCGAAAUUUAAUCUCGGAGUGAAAGGCGUACAGUUGUAUGGGACACUGCGGGUGAUACUGGAACCUCUUCUAACCGAUGCCCCUUUUAUUGGAGCAGUGACUUUGUUUUUUAUGCAGAAACCGCACUUGGAAAUCAACUGGGCAGGCAUGAGCAACCUCCUGGAUGUCCCAGGGAUUAAUGUAAUGUCGGACUCGCUAAUUCAAGACUUCAUUGCUGCACGGCUGGUUCUACCGAAUCGGAUCACAGUGCCUCUCAAGAAGAACAUGAACAUUGCCCACUUGAGGUUCCCUAUCCCACGUGGAGUAAUAAGGGUUCAUUUGCUAGAAGCUGAAAACCUUGUCCAGAAAGACAGUUUCCUUGGUGCCAUCAGGGGGAAGUCUGACCCGUAUGCUCUUCUUCGCCUUGGCACGGUGCAGUAUCGAAGCAAGACAGUUUCCCGAGAUCUUAAUCCCAUUUGGAAUGAGACGUUUGAGUUUGUUGUCCAUGAACUGCCCGGUCAGGACUUAGAAGUGGACUUGUACGAUGAAGAUCCAGAUAAAGAUGACUUCAUGGGCAGCUUGAUUAUAAACCUAGUGGAUGUAAUGAAUGACAGAACUGUUGAUGAGUGGUUUCCCUUGAGUAAGACAACAAGUGGACACUUGCAUUUAAAACUGGAGUGGCUUUCACUAGUAAGUGACCAAGAAAAGCUACAUGAGGAUAAGAAAGGUCUGUCUACAGCUAUUCUGAUAGUCUACUUGGACAGUGCCUUCAACCUUCCAAAAAACCACUUUGAGUAUUCGAAUGGUGAAUGUGGAGCAAAGAAGAUCAAAAAUAACAAGUACCUCAAGAAGAUGGAACGAGAACCUUCCUCCUUCGUCCUGCUCACGGUAGGAAACAAGACUCAGAAAAGCAAGACCUGCAAUUUCAGCAAAGAUCCCACGUGGGGCCAAGCGUUCUCCUUCUUUGUCCACAGUGCUCAUUCCCAGUCGCUCCAUGUUGAGAUAAAAGACAAGGAUCGGGAUAGUGCCCUGGGAACGUCAGUUGUGUGUCUCUCCCACUUACUUAAGGACCCAAACAUGACUCUGGAUCAGAGAUUUCAGCUGGAUCAUUCCAGUUCAGACAGCUUCAUUAAGAUGAAACUUGUGUUGCGGGCCUUGAAUGUUGAAGAACCCGAUCCACAAAGAGUCAAGGCUGGUGUCAAUGCCUCGAAGCAAGGUCCUGUGCGUGUCAUGGAGAAGGGUGGAAACCAGCAGAAGUUUCCCUCCCCAUCAAACCCAGAAGUCUCAAAAGUACCUCCAGUGAGCAAAGACUCUGCAGGGCCUGAAUCCCUGCCAAAAAAGGACAGCAGAGAAGACCUGGACACAACUGACAGUUCAGCAGCGCCUGAACCAAGUGAAACUGUUGUUGGCCUUAAUGAGACAGAGCAUGAGCAAAACCCAGAGCAGCACCCGUCGUCAGCGUUGCACACCAGAGCAGCGGUAGUGCCCACGUUGCCCGUCGUACAAGAAAUGAGGCUUGCGCCCAGUGUUGUCUCGCUGGGUUCUCUGCCUUCUUCUUGCUUUGAAUUAAGUAGCAGCAAUCUGGACCUUCAUAACGGGACUGAAAUGCCCCUGGGCGAGAUCCAGCUGACGGUGCGGUACGCGUCGAUACGGCAGAGUCUCGUCGUGCUGGUGAAUGGCUGCAGAAACUUAGUACCCUGUUCCAAUCGUGGAGUAGAUCCAUAUGUUCGUAUAUACCUGCUUCCAGAUAGAAGAUGGACAAGCAGGAAGAGGACUUCUGUUAAGAAAAAAACUCUGAACCCCCAAUAUGAUGAGAAGUUUGAAUUUUUUGAAUCUUUGGAAGAGGUCAAGAAAAGGACGCUGGACGUUGCAGUGAAAAACAGCAGGCCGUUCAUUUCACAGGAGAGGAAGGAGCUGGGGAAGGUGCGGAUUGACUUGUCACAGGAGGACUUAAUAAAAGGUUUUGCACAGUGGCCAAGGAAUGCGGCGCGGGUAGUCCAGGAGCUUCCCUCCUCACGGGCAGCGAGCCAGGCCUGGCCAGCGGGAUGGGAAACCCGAGUUUCCCCCGUCUGUGUCCCACGUGAGCAUGCGGCAAUUUUGGGAGUAGGAGAAAAAUGACACAUCCAGAGUUUCCUGGUAAAGAGCUGGAGUUGGAGGCCACCUCUGCACCCUCCCUUGCCAUCUGCCUAUGGAGCACACUCAGUAUGAACUGACAAGGUGUAGACGCAAGAAAAACUGAUUUCUUCUCAAGUACCUAAGUUACUAAUUUUUCAACUUUAUAUGAAUGUAUAUAUCUCUUUUGUAAUUAAUGUGUUUUGAACAAUAACUGCAACUUUGAAGCAGUCUCUGGCUCAGGACGUGUAAAUGUAAUGAUCCUACUUAGAAAAUUGUUCUCACUGAAGUAAAAGAACAAAACAACAAAAAACAAACCCACGCAAGAGUAAGUUGUCCCUAAAAAAUAUGUCCUUUGUUUUUGCUGUUUCUGGCAUAUUUCCCCAAAGAACCCUGAAGUAUGAAUCCUCUCUUAAGGACCUGUUGAACCUGGAGAUAUUUUAGACUGUCGCCUCAGUGUCAUUACUUUGCUUGGCAGUCUCAUUUCCCCAAGGUUCUAUUCAGGUUGUUUUAACAUGAAUUCAUUGUACUUUUAGAAGAAUAAAUUUUUAAACAGCAUUUUUCAUCUGUAGGGCUACAGAACCUGUUGAAAGAAACUGUUUAAGACUCUAAUAUGAAUUAGUUUUUGAGAAACUAAGACAUUGAUAUUCUGCUGUUCAAAGGUCUCUUAGCAGAUUGUGGCUGCAGGUAUGUAUAUAAUGAGCUUCCAAAAGCAGGGAGAUUAGUUUACUAAGUUGUCAUAAAGGUUUUAUUUUGUGAUGCCUUAACAUGUUUUGUUCGUUAAAGUACAUUUCAAAAACCUUGUAUAUCUUGAGAGCAAAGCACUCUGCCUGAGGAACAGCAGAGUCUUGCAAACUAAGCUUUAGUAGUGUUGGAGCAAAAUAUACCAAAAUAUUUUUGGAAGCUUGGUGUACUUGUUUCUGUACAAUAAACUUCUGAUUGUCUUGCAUAUGAAA